GAGGGUAUAACUCAGUGGUAGAGCAUGUGCUUAGCAUGCACGAGACCCUGGGUUCAACCCCCAGUACCUCCA
RNAcentral lists this transfer RNA (72 nucleotides) under Camelus bactrianus (Bactrian camel). It matches the Rfam family "tRNA". From Rfam's summary of the family: Transfer RNA (tRNA) molecules are approximately 80 nucleotides in length. Their secondary structure includes four short double-helical elements and three loops (D, anti-codon, and T loops). Lineage: Eukaryota; Metazoa; Chordata; Mammalia; Artiodactyla; Camelidae. The record is from Rfam by way of RNAcentral. RNAcentral also lists the same sequence under 2 other names.